This 1086-nucleotide ribosomal RNA is filed under the name Myzus varians. RNAcentral describes it as "partial 16S large subunit ribosomal RNA". Lineage: Eukaryota; Metazoa; Arthropoda; Insecta; Hemiptera; Aphididae. The record is from RNAcentral.
GUUUUUUAUAAAAGUAAUUUAUUUAUUUAAUGUUUUAGUAUUUAGUAAAAAUUAAUUUAUAGAUUUAUAGUUUAAUAGUAUUGUAAAAGAAUUAAUUAGAUUUUUAAAAGAAUAUUUUUAGUACCUUUUGUAUCAGGGUUAAUUAAAAUUUUUAAUGUUUUUUUUAAUUUCUCAAAAUUUAUAGAGUUAAUUUUAUUAUUAAUUUAUUGUUUUAUAAAUAUUUAAAAAAUAAUAUUAGUUUUGAAAUUUAAUUCGUUAUAUUAUAUUUAGUUAUUUAAGAUUUAAAUUUAAUUUAAAAUUUUAAAAGUUAUAUUGAUUUUAUAUAUUAAUAUUUUAAAUUUAAAUUAUUUUAGGGAUAAGCUUGAAAUUUUUAUAUAAUAAUUUAUUUAUUUUAAUAAUUUAUAGGAAUAGAAAUUUUUAUUUAAGUUUGUAAAAAUUUAUUAUUUAAUUAAUUUUAAUUUAUUAUAAAUUUAUUUAUUUUUUUUAUUAAAUUUUAUUAAUUAAUAUUUAAUUAAUAGUAAUAAUGAUUAAAUUAGUAUAAUUUAUAUUUAUAAAUUAUGAAUUUGGCAAAAAUUAUUUUCAUCUGUUUAACAAAAACAUUGUAUUAAGUUUAAUUUAAUAUAGGAUCUGCUCAAUGAUUUAUUAAAUAGCUGCAGUAUUUUGACUGUGCAAAGGUAGCAUAAUAAUUAGUCUUUUAAUUGGGGACUUGUAUGAAAGAUUUGAUGAGAAAUAAACUUUAUUAUUUAUAUAAUUAAAAUUUUAUUUUUAAGUAAAAAAGCUUAAAUUUUUUAAAGGGACGAUAAGACCCUAUAAAACUUUAUAAAUGUAAAUUUUAAUUUUUUUGGAUUUAUAAAUAUUUUAAUUUUAUUAUUUAUUUUAUUGGGGUGAUAAAAAAAAUUAUUAAACUUUUUUUAAAAUUUUACAUUAUUUAAUGAAUAUUUGAAUUAAAAUUUUUAAUUAAAGGAAAAAGUUACUUUAGGGAUAACAGCGUAAUUAAUUUUUUAAGUUCAAAUUUAAAAAUUAGUUUGCGACCUCGAUGUUGAAUUAAGAUUAAUCUUAGGUGCAAAAUUUUAAGUAUUAGGUCUG